AUUGAACGCUGGCGGCAGGCCUAACACAUGCAAGUCGAACGGUAACAGGAAGCAGCUUGCUGCUUCGCUGACGAGUGGCGGACGGGUGAGUCAUGUCUGGGAAACUGCCUGAUGGAGGGGGAUAACUACUGGAAACGGUAGCUAAUACCGCAUAACGUCGCAAGACCAAAGAGGGGGACCUUAGGGCCUCUUGCCAUCGGAUGUGCCCAGAUGGGAUUAGCUAGUAGGUGGGGUAACGGCUCACCUAGGCGACGAUCCCUAGCUGGUCUGAGAGGAUGACCAGCCACACUGGAACUGAGACACGGUCCAGACUCCUACGGGAGGCAGCAGUGGGGAAUAUUGCACAAUGGGCGCAAGCCUGAUGCAGCCAUGCCGCGUGUAUGAAGAAGGCCUUCGGGUUGUAAAGUACUUUCAGCGGGGAGGAAGGGAGUAAAGUUAAUACCUUUGCUCAUUGACGUUACCCGCAGAAGAAGCACCGGCUAACUACGUG
Molecule: ribosomal RNA, 490 nt
Filed under: uncultured bacterium
Lineage: Bacteria
Description: partial 16S ribosomal RNA
Rfam family: Bacterial small subunit ribosomal RNA
Source: RNAcentral